This 570-nucleotide long non-coding RNA is filed under the name Rattus norvegicus (Norway rat). Its description in RNAcentral is "long non-coding RNA NONRATT017499". Lineage: Eukaryota; Metazoa; Chordata; Mammalia; Rodentia; Muridae. The record is from RNAcentral.
GAGCUUAUUGGGUCAGACCAUGAGGGCAAUGAGAUAUCAUGAUCUCAGCCCUGAGGUGACUCACCAUUCCUGCUGUGUCGAUUUUCAUUUGCUAUAUACCUAAGAAUCCGUCCUUUUGACAGUGUCAGGCUCACGACUUGUGUUGUCUCCUUCUCCCAAUAUUCAGGUGGCUCCUGCUCUAUCCAAGCAGCCCGAGGUUGCAUACUCGCAUUGGGAGCUUGGCUGUCGAAUCCCUGAAACUGGAUGGAGUCUACAUAGCUGACCUGGAUCAACCGGGGCUCUGUCAUUCCAGGCUCCAAAAUCACAGUGUUGAAAGUCUGCAGCCAGUGUGAACCUGUGGGUGGUGCACAUUGAGACCCUGAGUUUUCACCUUGACUCAGAACAGGUCUGUCAGAUGAAACUAGACCAAAUGGCUGAAGACUGAUGCUCCAACAUUUUGAAGAAUUAUGGGUUAUCCAGGGAGUCAGCUCUCUCUACAAUUGCUGAAGUUUGAGAAGCUACAUUUAGUGUUUCCUAUAUACCCAGCAGUGCUGACAUCCGCUCCUUCUUAAUAAAGUUACGAAUUACAGU